RNAcentral lists this ribosomal RNA (448 nucleotides) under uncultured bacterium. RNAcentral's name for it is "SSU rRNA". It matches the Rfam family "Bacterial small subunit ribosomal RNA", at positions 26 to 518 of the family's 1533-position model. The record is from RNAcentral.
AGAGCGAACGCUGGCGGCAGGCUUAACACAUGCAAGUCGAGCGGGCGUAGCAAUACGUCAGCGGCAGACGGGUGAGUAACGCGUGGGAACGUACCUUUUGGUUCGGAACAACCCAGGGAAACUUGGGCUAAUACCGGAUAAGCCCUUACGGGGAAAGAUUUAUCGCCGAAAGAUCGGCCCGCGUCUGAUUAGCUAGUUGGUGAGGUAAUGGCUCACCAAGGCGACGAUCAGUAGCUGGUCUGAGAGGAUGAUCAGCCACAUUGGGACUGAGACACGGCCCAAACUCCUACGGGAGGCAGCAGUGGGGAAUAUUGGACAAUGGGCGCAAGCCUGAUCCAGCCAUGCCGCGUGAGUGAUGAAGGCCCUAGGGUUGUAAAGCUCUUUUGUGCGGGAAGAUAAUGACGGUACCGCAAGAAUAAGCCCCGGCUAACUUCGUGCCAGCAGCCGC